GUUGUCCGGAUUUAUUGGGCGUAAAGCGAGCGCAGGCGGUGAUUUAAGUCUGAUGUGAAAGCCCCCAGCUCAACUGGGGAGGGUCAUUGGAAACUGGAUCACUUGAGUGCAGAAGAGGAGAGUGGAAUUCCAUGUGUAGCGGUGAAAUGCGUAGAUAUAUGGAGGAACACCAGUGGCGAAGGCGGCUCUCUGGUCUGUAACUGACGCUGAGACUCGAAAGCGUGGGUAGCAAACAGGAUUAGAUACCCUGGUAGUCCACGCCGUAAACGAUGAGUGCUAAGUGUUGGAGGGUUUCCGCCCUUCAGUGCUGCAGUUAACGCAUUAAGCACUCCGCCUGGGGAGUACGACCGCAAGGUUGAAACUCAAUGGAAUUGACGGGGGCCCGCACAAGCGGUGGAGCAUGUGGUUUAAUACGAAGCAACGCGAAGAACCUUACCAGGUCUUGACAUCCUUUGACCGCCCUAGAGAUAGGGUUUCCCCUUCGGGGGCAAAGUGACAGGUGGUGCAUGGUUGUCGUCAGCUCGUGUCGUGAGAUGUUGGGUUAAGUCCCGUAACGAGCGCAACCCUUAUUGUUAGUUGCCAGCAUUGAGUUGGGCACUCUAGCAAGACUGCCGGUGACAAACCGGAGGAAGGCGGGGAUGACGUCAAAUCAUCAUGCCCCUUAUGACCUGGGCUACACACGUGCUACAAUGGGAAGUACAACGAGCAAGCCAAGCCGCAAGGCCUAGCGAAUCUCUGAAAGCUUCUCUCAGUUCGGAUUGCAGGCUGCAACUCGCCUGCAUGAAGCCGGAAUCGCUAGUAAUCGCGGAUCAGCAUGCCGCGGUGAAUCCGUUCCCGGGCCUUGUACACACCGCCCGUCACACCACGAGAGUUUGUAACACCCAAAGUCGGUGCGGCAACCCUUCGGGGAGCCAGCCGCCUAAGGUGGGACGAAUGAUUGGGGUGAAGUC
RNAcentral lists this ribosomal RNA (950 nucleotides) under uncultured bacterium. Its description in RNAcentral is "bacterial SSU rRNA". It matches the Rfam family "Bacterial small subunit ribosomal RNA", at positions 540 to 1487 of the family's 1533-position model. The record is from RNAcentral.